AUGUAUGGGGGAAAAGAUAUCCCUAUGUGGAGGCUUUCCCCUGAUAAACAAUUUUCGGUGAAAUCUUUAUAUCUUCACCCGGUGAAAAGUGAAAGCGGCUUCCCAUAGAAAUUUAUGUGGAAAGUGAAGGUCCCAGCUAAAAUCAAAUUCUUUCUUUGGUUGGUAAAUAGGAAAAGUAUCCUUACUAGAGAUAACCUUUUGAGAAGAGGGUGGAAAGGUAACAAAAAUUGUGUUUUUUGUGGUCUAGAUGAAAGUAUUGAUCAUUUAUUUUUCUCUUGUUCUGUUGCUAGACUGAUCUGGAAUUUACUCAGAUGUGCUUUUCAUCUACAAUGUGUGCCUGUCAACUUACAUGAUUGUUUUGGAAGGUGGAUCUAA
RNAcentral lists this ribosomal RNA (375 nucleotides) under Triticum aestivum (bread wheat). RNAcentral describes it as "partial small subunit ribosomal RNA". The record is from RNAcentral. Lineage: Eukaryota; Viridiplantae; Streptophyta; Magnoliopsida; Poales; Poaceae.